Bombus huntii is the source of this 992-nucleotide long non-coding RNA. RefSeq lists it as uncharacterized. The record is from RefSeq and is a predicted model, not a curated record. The transcript has 4 exons. NCBI's taxonomy places the organism in Eukaryota, Metazoa, Arthropoda, Insecta, Hymenoptera, Apidae.
AUUUGGGCCAGGGCAAACAUGCACAUCCCUGGCGUGAAACAACUAGGCCAAACCAAUAGCGCAUCUCCUAUGCAACUGAAUAUCAACCCUGUCAAUAUUCGUCUGGAGAACCUGUAUCUGAAAAAUAAGACCGUCAAUCAUGAUUAUUGCCCAGCUCUGAUCCAAGAUUCCAAGCAAACAGAAGUACAGAGAAGCAGUGAAGAAAUAUUCCAGCGUACACUUACAUUUUCAGGUGACUUUUUCGGUUGUAAUAUUUUUCAAUCAAUGUUCAUCUUUUAUAAAGUGAUAUAAUUUUUUUUUUUUUGUUUAAAAUAUUACAGAAAUAUCGUUAACAUAUAUAUUGCCGGCUGUCGAAACGUAAUAGCGAUCAUUUCGUACGUUACAUAGGAAGAAGAGCAAUCAUCGGUAUGUACGUCACAAGGCCGACGCAGAACGUUAUAUUCUGCCUCGUAAUAAAUCGAUCCUCUUCUUUGUUUCCAACGGAAAAUUUCUCUUACGAGAUCAAUCGAGAAUUUCACGCGAUCUGUGGAGUGCGAAAAUCGUUAAAAAGAACAAACUUGGCGGGACGUUUAAAAAUAUGUGCGUUACCGAUUAGGAAAAAAAAGUGACCUGAAAAUAAGCAUAUUGGUAUUUUAUCGAUAUAAUCAUGAUAGUCGUAUCAUACUAAUAUAUACAUAAAAAUUGCCCAUGUUAAAUGUUGAAGUGCUUUAAUGAGCCACUGUAAACGGCAAUAACUACGUUGCGUCGUUAAGUUGAUAAUAAAAACGGAAACACGGAGGUCGAUAAAUUACCCCCGGUUAAUACUUCUCGAUUUUAUCUCCAAAAUGCAUGGGGCGCUAGUGACACUACUGAACAAGAGGCGUGAGACAAAAAGGAUCGGCACAUGCAAAAUUCUGUCGCACUUACUCCUGCGAUAAACUAAUUCCAUGUAGAAGAACAAAGACGAUAAGACUUAUAAUUGGCAAACACUUGAAACAUGCCGUCAGCAGGGA